This 300-nucleotide ribosomal RNA is filed under the name uncultured Haloferula sp. RNAcentral's name for it is "partial 16S ribosomal RNA". It matches the Rfam family "Bacterial small subunit ribosomal RNA", at positions 496 to 795 of the family's 1533-position model. The record is from RNAcentral. Lineage: Bacteria; Pseudomonadati; Verrucomicrobiota; Verrucomicrobiia; Verrucomicrobiales; Verrucomicrobiaceae.
GGUAAUGUGGUGCCGGCGGCAGCGGUAAUGCGGAGGGUCCGAGCGGUGUACUGAUUGAGUGGGCGUAAGGGGUGCGUAGGUGGCAGGGUAAGUUUGAUGUGAAAGCUCCGGGGUUAACCCGGAAACUGCAGUUAAUACUAUCGUGCUCGAGGGUUGGAGGGGGGACUGGAAUAGUUGGUGUAGCAGUGAAAUGCGUAGAUAUCAAGUGGAACACCAGUGGCGAAGGCGAGUCCCUGGACAACUCCUGACACUGAGGCACGAAAGCUAGGGGAGCAAACAGGAUUAGAUACCCCGGUAGUC